Molecule: ribosomal RNA, 433 nt
Filed under: uncultured bacterium
Lineage: Bacteria
Description: partial 16S ribosomal RNA
Rfam family: Bacterial small subunit ribosomal RNA
Source: RNAcentral
AACGAACGCUGGCGGCAUGCCUAACACAUGCAAGUCGAACGAGACCUUCGUGCCUAUUGGCGCACGGGUGCGUAACGCCGGGGAACUUGCCCUUAGGUUCGGAAUAACUCCCCGAAGGGGGUGCUAAUACCGGUUAAUGUCUUCGGACCAAAGAUGUCUGGCGUUUGGAUGGGCCCGCGUUGGAUUCGCCAGUUGGUAGGGUAAAAGCCUAUCAUGGAGAGGUUCCAUAGCUGGUCGGUGAGGAGGACAUGCCACGCUGGAGAUACGGCACGGACCAGUACGCUACGGAGGGGUGGAGAGGGGAAUAUUAGAGGCUGGGCGAAAGCGUGAUCAAGCAAUGCCGGGUGAGUGAGGAAGGGCUUAGUGUUGUAAAGCUCUUUUACCCGAGGUGAGAAUGACAGUACCGGGAGAAUAAGCUCCGGCUAACUCCGUG